This 250-nucleotide ribosomal RNA is filed under the name uncultured bacterium. RNAcentral's name for it is "partial 16S ribosomal RNA". It matches the Rfam family "Bacterial small subunit ribosomal RNA", at positions 524 to 773 of the family's 1533-position model. The record is from RNAcentral.
UACGUAGGUGGCGAGCGUUGUCCGGAAUUACUGGGUGUAAAGGGAGCGCAGGCGGGAAGACAAGUUGGAUGUGAAAUACCCAGGCUCAACCUGGGGGCUGCAUCCAAAACUGUUUUUCUUGAGUGAAGUAGAGGUAGGCGGAAUUCCUAGUGUAGCGGUGAAAUGCGUAGAUAUUAGGAGGAACACCAGUGGCGAAGGCGGCCUACUGGGCUUUAACUGACGCUGAGGCUCGAAAGCGUGGGGAGCAAAC